GGGCCCGCACAAGCGGUGGAGCAUGUGGUUUAAUUCGACGCAACGCGAAGAACCUUACCUGGGUUUGACAUGCAUCAGACAGGUGUAGAAAUACACCCUCCCUUCGGGGCUGGUGCACAGGUGCUGCAUGGCUGUCGUCAGCUCGUGUCGUGAGAUGUUGGGUUAAGUCCCGCAACGAGCGCAACCCUCGUUUUCAGUUGCCAGCGGAUAACGCCGGGCACUCUGAAGAGACUGCCGGUGGUAAGCCGGAGGAAGGUGGGGAUGACGUCAAGUCCUCAUGGCCCUUACGCCCAGGGCUACACACGUGCUACAAUGGCCGAAACAAAGGGUUCCGAUGCCGCGAGGUGGAGGUAAUCCCAAAAAAUCGGUCUCAGUUCGGACUGCAGUCUGCAACUCGACUGCACGAAGGCGGAAUCGCUAGUAAUCGCUGAUCAGCAGGCAGCGGUGAAUACGUUCCCGGGCCUU
Molecule: ribosomal RNA, 465 nt
Filed under: uncultured bacterium
Lineage: Bacteria
Description: bacterial SSU rRNA
Rfam family: Bacterial small subunit ribosomal RNA
Source: RNAcentral